UACGUAGGGUGCAAGCGUUAAUCGGAAUUACUGGGCGUAAAGCGUGCGCAGGCGGUGAUGUAAGACAGUUGUGAAAUCCCCGGGCUCAACCUGGGAACUGCAUCUGUGACUGCAUCGCUGGAGUACGGUAGAGGGGGAUGGGAAUUCCGCGUGUAGCAGUGAAAUGCGUAGAUAUGCGGAGGAACACCGAUGGCGAAGGCAAUCCCCUGGACCUGUACUGACGCUCAUGCAC
This 232-nucleotide ribosomal RNA is filed under the name uncultured bacterium. RNAcentral describes it as "partial 16S ribosomal RNA". It matches the Rfam family "Bacterial small subunit ribosomal RNA", at positions 524 to 754 of the family's 1533-position model. The record is from RNAcentral.